Molecule: RNA transcript, 1038 nt
Organism: Sapajus apella (tufted capuchin)
Lineage: Eukaryota; Metazoa; Chordata; Mammalia; Primates; Cebidae
Gene name: NADH dehydrogenase [ubiquinone] 1 beta subcomplex subunit 5, mitochondrial-like
Exons: 2
Source: RefSeq, a predicted model, not a curated record
AAUAAGUCAACUGAGAGUAGCCAUGGUGGCCAACAGUCUGUCACAAUGGGUUUCAGUUACUGCAGUGGCAGCUGUGUCCAGCGGCCACCUUGUCAUCGGACUGGGGUUUGGGAGUUUCCUCACUCAUGACUUUCCGAAGGCCGUUGCUCAUGUUUGACACAGUGGAGGCCUUGGAAAAAGACUAUUUGUCAUCAAACCUUCUAGAUUCUAUGACAGGUCUUUUUUGAAGUUAUUGAGAUUCUACGUUUUAUUGAGUGGAAUUCCAGUAGCAAUUAUUGCAACUCUGGUGAAUGUAUUCACUGGUCAAGCUGAACCAGCAGAAAUUCCAGAAGGCUAUAUCCCAGAACACUGGGAAUAGUAUCAGCAUCCCAUAUCAAGAUGCAUUGCCCGUACUUUCUAUGAUGGUCCUGAAAAGAAUUAUGAAAGAAGAAUGGCCAACCUUCAGAUUGAAGCUGAAAAGGCUGAAUCACGGUUAAAGGAGCCAGAAGUACGAAGAUUAAUGCAUGCGAGAGGAGACAGACUCUGGUAUCACUUUGAGACAGUUGAUAAGGAACUUACUGAUCAUUCUCCAAAAGCAACUCCUGACAAUUAAGCAUUUUUUUUCUCUAAAUCCAAAGUAUAUUCUCUUUCUUGGAAAAUAAAUUAGUAAACAUAUCUGUAUUUUUGCUCUCCAUGGAAAAAGAGCUUCUGACUUUACUGUUUCUCAGUGUUGGUUCAGAUUGAGGUUUUUGUUUGGGGGUGGGUUCGCUUCCAGUCCCUGAAGGUUUAAAAUGUACUAAUAAAAACUGGAGAAAUAGGAAUCUGUGAAUUCCUAAAGUGUAGCAACUUUGAAAGGUCAAAGUGUUUUAUUUACCUGACAAAUGGAAGUUAUAGAAAAGAAGUUCUAGUUAUGCUAAGUACCAGUAAUUAUAGUAUUUUGUACAAAUGUCUGUACUGCAGACGUCUGUAUUAUUGAAGGGCAACUCAGGAUUUUAAGUUCCAUAAAGAAUUGAAUCAACUCUGUAAAAUAUUAACUCCUUAAUAAACAGAUUUUCAGUA